CUAGAGAAAAAACCUCUGGAUCGCGUAUCCACAACCUAUCGGUUGUUUUUUAAAGAACAGUGAGAGGCAAGGCGUCGGGGGUUCGACAUCGCGAGCUGAUGUUGGACUCCUGAACUGAUCCUCGAGUUGUAGAUGGGGGUCGGUAGCUCAGUCGGUUAGAGCACCGUCUUGAUAAGGCGGGGGUCGUAGGUUCGAUUCCUACCUGACCCACCAGAUGAUCAAGAGGGGGCAUAGCUCAGCUGGGAGAGCACCGGCUUUGCAAGCCGGGGGUCGUCGGUUCGAUCCCGACUGCCUCCACCAGAGAUCAGAAGAGAGCGUACUCGGAUGAGUGUGCUGUGUUCUGGUUUUUACCAGUAAGACUGUUCGAUCUUUAACAAAUUGGAAGAAGUGUGCAGUAUCUGUUGAUGAGACAGGUGCUGCAUGGGUUGUGUGAUUGCAUUUUGCAUCACUGCUGGCUUUGAACCAGCACAGUGGUGGUGCGCACAAACGCGAGUGAGUCUAUGGCAUUGUCUCUGAGCGAUCAGAGUGCAAGGUUAUAGG
Molecule: transfer RNA, 540 nt
Filed under: uncultured bacterium
Lineage: Bacteria
Description: 16S-23S ribosomal RNA intergenic spacer
Rfam family: tRNA (bases 137-210)
Source: RNAcentral